Molecule: ribosomal RNA, 465 nt
Filed under: Vreelandella stevensii
Lineage: Bacteria; Pseudomonadati; Pseudomonadota; Gammaproteobacteria; Oceanospirillales; Halomonadaceae
Description: partial 16S ribosomal RNA
Rfam family: Bacterial small subunit ribosomal RNA
Source: RNAcentral
CCUACGGGCGGCAGCAGUGGGGAAUAUUGGACAAUGGGGGGAACCCUGAUCCAGCCAUGCCGCGUGUGUGAAGAAGGCCCUCGGGUUGUAAAGCACUUUCAGUGAGGAAGAACGCCUGGUGGUUAAUACCCAUCAGGAAAGACAUCACUCACAGAAGAAGCACCGGCUAACUCCGUGCCAGCAGCCGCGGUAAUACGGAGGGUGCGAGCGUUAAUCGGAAUUACUGGGCGUAAAGCGCGCGUAGGUGGCUUGAUAAGCCGGUUGUGAAAGCCCCGGGCUCAACCUGGGAACGGCAUCCGGAACUGUCAAGCUAGAGUGCAGGAGAGGAAGGUAGAAUUCCCGGUGUAGCGGUGAAAUGCGUAGAGAUCGGGAGGAAUACCAGUGGCGAAGGCGGCCUUCUGGACUGACACUGACACUGAGGUGCGAAAACGUGGGUAGCAAACAGGAUUAGAUACCCCAGUAGUC